GAACCGUCCAAACGUUAUUCGGAAUCACUGGGCUUAAAGGGUGCGUAGGCGGUCCGGAAAGUUGGGUGUGAAAUCCCUCGGCUCAACCGAGGAAUUGCGCCCAAAACUUCCGGACUCGAGUGAGGCAGAGGUGAGCGGAACUUGCGGUGGAGCGGUGAAAUGCGUUGAUAUCGCAAGGAACACCAGUAGCGAAGGCGGCUCACUGGGCCUUUUCUGACGCUGAGGCACGAAAGCUAGGGUAGCGAACGGGAUUAGAUACCCCGGGUAGUCCUAGCUGUAAACGAUGAGCACUUGGCUGGAGGAGCUUCGGUUCUUCCAGCCGUAGCGAAAGUGUUAAGUGCUCCGCCUGGGGAGUAUGGUCGCAAGGCUG
RNAcentral lists this ribosomal RNA (370 nucleotides) under uncultured organism. RNAcentral's name for it is "partial 16S ribosomal RNA". It matches the Rfam family "Bacterial small subunit ribosomal RNA", at positions 527 to 896 of the family's 1533-position model. The record is from RNAcentral.